Molecule: ribosomal RNA, 2923 nt
Filed under: Klebsiella pneumoniae
Lineage: Bacteria; Pseudomonadati; Pseudomonadota; Gammaproteobacteria; Enterobacterales; Enterobacteriaceae
Description: 23S ribosomal RNA
Rfam family: Bacterial large subunit ribosomal RNA
Source: RNAcentral
GGGUUGUGAGGUUAAGCGACUAAGCGUACACGGUGGAUGCCCUGGCAGUCAGAGGCGAUGAAGGACGUGCUAAUCUGCGAAAAGCGUCGGUAAGGUGAUAUGAACCGUUAUAACCGGCGAUGUCCGAAUGGGGAAACCCAGUGCAAUUCGUUGCACUAUCGUUAACUGAAUACAUAGGUUAACGAGGCGAACCGGGGGAACUGAAACAUCUAAGUACCCCGAGGAAAAGAAAUCAACCGAGAUUCCCCCAGUAGCGGCGAGCGAACGGGGAGCAGCCCAGAGUCUGAAUCAGCUUGUGUGUUAGUGGAACGGUCUGGAAAGUCCGACGGUACAGGGUGAUAGUCCCGUACACCAAAAUGCACAGGCUGUGAACUCGAAGAGUAGGGCGGGACACGUGGUAUCCUGUCUGAAUAUGGGGGGACCAUCCUCCAAGGCUAAAUACUCCUGACUGACCGAUAGUGAACCAGUACCGUGAGGGAAAGGCGAAAAGAACCCCGGCGAGGGGAGUGAAAAAGAACCUGAAACCGUGUACGUACAAGCAGUGGGAGCACCUUCGGGUGUGACUGCGUACCUUUUGUAUAAUGGGUCAGCGACUUAUAUUCUGUAGCAAGGUUAACCGUAUAGGGGAGCCGCAGGGAAACCGAGUCUUAACUGGGCGUUAAGUUGCAGGGUAUAGACCCGAAACCCGGUGAUCUAGCCAUGGGCAGGUUGAAGGUUGGGUAACACUAACUGGAGGACCGAACCGACUAAUGUUGAAAAAUUAGCGGAUGACUUGUGGCUGGGGGUGAAAGGCCAAUCAAACCGGGAGAUAGCUGGUUCUCCCCGAAAGCUAUUUAGGUAGCGCCUCGUGAACUCAUCUUCGGGGGUAGAGCACUGUUUCGGCUAGGGGGUCAUCCCGACUUACCAACCCGAUGCAAACUACGAAUACCGAAGAAUGUUAUCACGGGAGACACACGGCGGGUGCUAACGUCCGUCGUGAAGAGGGAAACAACCCAGACCGCCAGCUAAGGUCCCAAAGUCAUGGUUAAGUGGGAAACGAUGUGGGAAGGCACAGACAGCCAGGAUGUUGGCUUAGAAGCAGCCAUCAUUUAAAGAAAGCGUAAUAGCUCACUGGUCGAGUCGGCCUGCGCGGAAGAUGUAACGGGGCUAAACCAUGCACCGAAGCUGCGGCAGCGACACUAUGUGUUGUUGGGUAGGGGAGCGUUCUGUAAGCCUGCGAAGGUGACCUGUGAGGGUUGCUGGAGGUAUCAGAAGUGCGAAUGCUGACAUAAGUAACGAUAAAGCGGGUGAAAAGCCCGCUCGCCGGAAGACCAAGGGUUCCUGUCCAACGUUAAUCGGGGCAGGGUGAGUCGACCCCUAAGGCGAGGCCGAAAGGCGUAGUCGAUGGGAAACAGGUUAAUAUUCCUGUACUUGGUGUUACUGCGAAGGGGGGACGGAGAAGGCUAUGUUAGCCGGGCGACGGUUGUCCCGGUUUAAGCAUGUAGGCUGGUUGUCCAGGCAAAUCCGGAUAAUCAAGGCUGAGGUGUGAUGACGAGGCACUACGGUGCUGAAGUAACAAAUGCCCUGCUUCCAGGAAAAGCCUCUAAGCAUCAGGUAACAUCAAAUCGUACCCCAAACCGACACAGGUGGUCAGGUAGAGAAUACCAAGGCGCUUGAGAGAACUCGGGUGAAGGAACUAGGCAAAAUGGUGCCGUAACUUCGGGAGAAGGCACGCUGGUGUGUAGGUGAAGCCCCUGCGGGUGGAGCUGAGACCAGUCGAAGAUACCAGCUGGCUGCAACUGUUUAUUAAAAACACAGCACUGUGCAAACACGAAAGUGGACGUAUACGGUGUGACGCCUGCCCGGUGCCGGAAGGUUAAUUGAUGGGGUUAUCCGUAAGGAGAAGCUCUUGAUCGAAGCCCCGGUAAACGGCGGCCGUAACUAUAACGGUCCUAAGGUAGCGAAAUUCCUUGUCGGGUAAGUUCCGACCUGCACGAAUGGCGUAAUGAUGGCCAGGCUGUCUCCACCCGAGACUCAGUGAAAUUGAACUCGCUGUGAAGAUGCAGUGUACCCGCGGCAAGACGGAAAGACCCCGUGAACCUUUACUAUAGCUUGACACUGAACAUUGAGCCUUGAUGUGUAGGAUAGGUGGGAGGCUUUGAAGCGUGGACGCCAGUCUGCGUGGAGCCAACCUUGAAAUACCACCCUUUAAUGUUUGAUGUUCUAACGUUGGCCCCUGACCGGGGUUGCGGACAGUGUCUGGUGGGUAGUUUGACUGGGGCGGUCUCCUCCCAAAGCGUAACGGAGGAGCACGAAGGUUAGCUAAUCCUGGUCGGACAUCAGGAGGUUAGUGCAAUGGCAUAAGCUAGCUUGACUGCGAGCGUGACGGCGCGAGCAGGUGCGAAAGCAGGUCAUAGUGAUCCGGUGGUUCUGAAUGGAAGGGCCAUCGCUCAACGGAUAAAAGGUACUCCGGGGAUAACAGGCUGAUACCGCCCAAGAGUUCAUAUCGACGGCGGUGUUUGGCACCUCGAUGUCGGCUCAUCACAUCCUGGGGCUGAAGUAGGUCCCAAGGGUAUGGCUGUUCGCCAUUUAAAGUGGUACGCGAGCUGGGUUUAGAACGUCGUGAGACAGUUCGGUCCCUAUCUGCCGUGGGCGCUGGAGAAUUGAGGGGGGCUGCUCCUAGUACGAGAGGACCGGAGUGGACGCAUCACUGGUGUUCGGGUUGUCAUGCCAAUGGCACUGCCCGGUAGCUAAAUGCGGAAGAGAUAAGUGCUGAAAGCAUCUAAGCACGAAACUUGCCCCGAGAUGAGUUCUCCCUGAGACUAUAAGUCUCCUGAAGGAACGUUAAAGACGAUGACGUUGAUAGGCCGGGUGUGUAAGCGCAGCGAUGCGUUGAGCUAACCGGUACUAAUGAACCGUGAGGCUUAACCUUACAACGCCGAAG